UACGAAGGGGGCUAGCGUUGCUCGGAAUUACUGGGCGUAAAGCGCACGUAGGCGGUCUUUUAAGUCGGGGGUGAAAUCCUGGAGCUCAACUCAAGAAAUGCACUUGAUACUGGAUGACUAGAGGACCGGAGAGGAUAGUGGAAUUCCCAGUGUAGUGGUGAAAUACGUAGAGAUUGGGAAGAACACCAGUGGCGAAGGCGGCUAUCUGGACGGUUUCUGACGCUAAGACGCGAAAGCGUGGGGAGCAAACAGG
RNAcentral lists this ribosomal RNA (253 nucleotides) under uncultured bacterium. RNAcentral's name for it is "partial 16S ribosomal RNA". It matches the Rfam family "Bacterial small subunit ribosomal RNA", at positions 524 to 776 of the family's 1533-position model. The record is from RNAcentral.